RNAcentral lists this ribosomal RNA (2043 nucleotides) under Escherichia coli. Its description in RNAcentral is "partial 23S ribosomal RNA". It matches the Rfam family "Bacterial large subunit ribosomal RNA", at positions 612 to 2640 of the family's 2925-position model. The record is from RNAcentral. Lineage: Bacteria; Pseudomonadati; Pseudomonadota; Gammaproteobacteria; Enterobacterales; Enterobacteriaceae.
AUAAUGGGUCAGCGACUUAUAUUCUGUAGCAAGGUUAACCGAAUAGGGGAGCCGAAGGGAAACCGAGUCUUAACUGGGCGUUAAGUUGCAGGGUAUAGACCCGAAACCCGGUGAUCUAGCCAUGGGCAGGUUGAAGGUUGGGUAACACUAACUGGAGGACCGAACCGACUAAUGUUGAAAAAUUAGCGGAUGACUUGUGGCUGGGGGUGAAAGGCCAAUCAAACCGGGAGAUAGCUGGUUCUCCCCGAAAGCUAUUUAGGUAGCGCCUCGUGAAUUCAUCUCCGGGGGUAGAGCACUGUUUCGGCAAGGGGGUCAUCCCGACUUACCAACCCGAUGCAAACUGCGAAUACCGGAGAAUGUUAUCACGGGAGACACACGGCGGGUGCUAACGUCCGUCGUGAAGAGGGAAACAACCCAGACCGCCAGCUAAGGUCCCAAAGUCAUGGUUAAGUGGGAAACGAUGUGGGAAGGCCCAGACAGCCAGGAUGUUGGCUUAGAAGCAGCCAUCAUUUAAAGAAAGCGUAAUAGCUCACUGGUCGAGUCGGCCUGCGCGGAAGAUGUAACGGGGCUAAACCAUGCACCGAAGCUGCGGCAGCGACGCUGAUGCGUUGUUGGGUAGGGGAGCGUUCUGUAAGCCUGCGAAGGUGUACUGUGAGGUAUGCUGGAGGUAUCAGAAGUGCGAAUGCUGACAUAAGUAACGAUAAAGCGGGUGAAAAGCCCGCUCGCCGGAAGACCAAGGGUUCCUGUCCAACGUUAAUCGGGGCAGGGUGAGUCGACCCCUAAGGCGAGGCCGAAAGGCGUAGUCGAUGGGAAACAGGUUAAUAUUCCUGUACUUGGUGUUACUGCGAAGGGGGGACGGAGAAGGCUAUGUUGGCCGGGCGACGGUUGUCCCGGUUUAAGCGUGUAGGCUGGUUUUCCAGGCAAAUCCGGAAAAUCAAGGCUGAGGCGUGAUGACGAGGCACUACGGUGCUGAAGCAACAAAUGCCCUGCUUCCAGGAAAAGCCUCUAAGCAUCAGGUAACAUCAAAUCGUACCCCAAACCGACACAGGUGGUCAGGUAGAGAAUACCAAGGCGCUUGAGAGAACUCGGGUGAAGGAACUAGGCAAAAUGGUGCCGUAACUUCGGGAGAAGGCACGCUGAUAUGUAGGUGAAGUCCCUCGCGGAUGGAGCUGAAAUCAGUCGAAGAUACCAGCUGGCUGCAACUGUUUAUUAAAAACACAGCACUGUGCAAACACGAAAGUGGACGUAUACGGUGUGACGCCUGCCCGGUGCCGGAAGGUUAAUUGAUGGGGUCAGCGCAAGCGAAGCUCUUGAUCGAAGCCCCGGUAAACGGCGGCCGUAACUAUAACGGUCCUAAGGUAGCGAAAUUCCUUGUCGGGUAAGUUCCGACCUGCACGAAUGGCGUAAUGAUGGCCAGGCUGUCUCCACCCGAGACUCAGUGAAAUUGAACUCGCUGUGAAGAUGCAGUGUACCCGCGGCAAGACGGAAAGACCCCGUGAACCUUUACUAUAGCUUGACACUGAACAUUGAGCCUUGAUGUGUAGGAUAGGUGGGAGGCUUUGAAGUGUGGACGCCAGUCUGCAUGGAGCCGACCUUGAAAUACCACCCUUUAAUGUUUGAUGUUCUAACGUUGACCCGUAAUCCGGGUUGCGGACAGUGUCUGGUGGGUAGUUUGACUGGGGCGGUCUCCUCCUAAAGAGUAACGGAGGAGCACGAAGGUUGGCUAAUCCUGGUCGGACAUCAGGAGGUUAGUGCAAUGGCAUAAGCCAGCUUGACUGCGAGCGUGACGGCGCGAGCAGGUGCGAAAGCAGGUCAUAGUGAUCCGGUGGUUCUGAAUGGAAGGGCCAUCGCUCAACGGAUAAAAGGUACUCCGGGGAUAACAGGCUGAUACCGCCCAAGAGUUCAUAUCGACGGCGGUGUUUGGCACCUCGAUGUCGGCUCAUCACAUCCUGGGGCUGAAGUAGGUCCCAAGGGUAUGGCUGUUCGCCAUUUAAAGUGGUACGCGAGCUGGGUUUAGAACGUCGUGAGACAGUUCGGUCCCUA